Long non-coding RNA from Oncorhynchus tshawytscha (Chinook salmon), 365 nucleotides. Lineage: Eukaryota; Metazoa; Chordata; Actinopteri; Salmoniformes; Salmonidae. The record is from Ensembl.
UGUGUUAGAGGAAGCUAGAGGUUAGAGAUGUGUUAGAGGAAGCUAGAGGUUAGAGAUGUGUUUUAGAGGAAGCUAGAUGCUAGAGAUGUGUUAGAGGAAGCUAGAGGAUAGAGAUGUGUUAGAGAAAGCCAGACGAUAGAGAUGUGUAAGAGGAAGCUAGAGGUUAGAGAUGUGUGUUAGAGGAAGCUAGAGGUUAGAGAUGUGUUAGAGGAAGCUAUAGGUUAAGAGAUGUGUUAGAGGAAGCUAGAGGAUAGAGAUGUGUUAGAGGAAGCUAGAGGAUAGAGAUGUGUUAGAGGAAGCUAGAGGUUAAAGAUGUGUUAGAGGAAGCUAGAGGUUAGAGAUGUGUUAGAGGAAGCUAGAGGUUA